This 342-nucleotide unclassified non-coding RNA is filed under the name soil metagenome. Its description in RNAcentral is "partial contains 5.8S ribosomal RNA, internal transcribed spacer 2, and large subunit ribosomal RNA". The stretch from base 1 to 120 matches the Rfam family "5.8S ribosomal RNA", at positions 35 to 154 of the family's 154-position model. The record is from RNAcentral.
GAUGAAGAACGUAGUGAAAUGCGAUAAGUAGUGUGAAUUGCAGAAUUCAGUGAAUCAUCGAAUCUUUGAACGCACAUUGCGGCCAUAGGUAUUCCUUUGGCCAUGCCUGUUCGAGCGUCAUUUACACCCUCAAGCCUAGCUUGGUGUUGGGCGUCUGUCCCGCCGUUUUCGCGCGCGGACUCGCCUCAAAAUCAUUGGCGGCGGUCGUGCCGGCCCCCUCGCGCAGCACAUUUGCGCUUCUCGGAGGCCCGGCGGAUCCGCGCUCCAGCAAGACCUUUCACGACUUGACCUCGGAUCAGGUAGGGAUACCCGCUGAACUUAAGCAUAUCAAUAAGCGGAGGA